RNAcentral lists this ribosomal RNA (440 nucleotides) under uncultured Pseudomonas sp. RNAcentral's name for it is "bacterial SSU rRNA". It matches the Rfam family "Bacterial small subunit ribosomal RNA", at positions 358 to 790 of the family's 1533-position model. Lineage: Bacteria; Pseudomonadati; Pseudomonadota; Gammaproteobacteria; Pseudomonadales; Pseudomonadaceae. The record is from RNAcentral.
GGAAUAUUGGACAAUGGGCGAAAGCCUGAUCCAGCCAUGCCGCGUGUGUGAAGAAGGUCUUCGGAUUGUAAAGCACUUUAAGUUGGGAGGAAGGGCAGUUACCUAAUACGUGACUGUCUUGACGUUACCGACAGAAUAAGCACCGGCUAACUCUGUGCCAGCAGCCGCGGUAAUACAGAGGGUGCAAGCGUUAAUCGGAAUUACUGGGCGUAAAGCGCGCGUAGGUGGUUUGUUAAGUUGAAUGUGAAAUCCCCGGGCUCAACCUGGGAACUGCAUCCAAAACUGGCAAGCUAGAGUAUGGUAGAGGGUAGUGGAAUUUCCUGUGUAGCGGUGAAAUGCGUAGAUAUAGGAAGGAACACCAGUGGCGAAGGCGACUACCUGGACUGAUACUGACACUGAGGUGCGAAAGCGUGGGGAGCAAACAGGAUUAGAUACCCUAG